UACAGAGGGGGCAAGCGUUGUUCGGAAUUACUGGGCGUAAAGGGCGCGUAGGCGGCCUGCUAAGUCGAACGUGAAAUCCCCGGGCUCAACCCGGGAACUGCGUCCGAUACUGGUAGGCUUGAAUUCGGGAGAGGGAUGCGGAAUUCCUGGUGUAGCGGUGAAAUGCGCAGAUAUCAGGAGGAACACCGGUGGCGAAGGCGGGUCUCUGGGCCGAUACUGACGCUGAGGAGCGAAAGCGUGGGGAGCAAACAGG
This 253-nucleotide ribosomal RNA is filed under the name uncultured bacterium. RNAcentral describes it as "partial 16S ribosomal RNA". It matches the Rfam family "Bacterial small subunit ribosomal RNA", at positions 524 to 776 of the family's 1533-position model. The record is from RNAcentral.